This 561-nucleotide ribosomal RNA is filed under the name Triticum aestivum (bread wheat). Its description in RNAcentral is "partial small subunit ribosomal RNA". Lineage: Eukaryota; Viridiplantae; Streptophyta; Magnoliopsida; Poales; Poaceae. The record is from RNAcentral.
AUGGAGGAAGCCAAGGUUGUGGAGACCAGGGAUGGAACUAUCGCAGUUGCUUCAGCGUUUCCCGGUCAUCAGGAAGCCGUACAAGAUAGGGAUCACAAGUUCUUGUCGAAAGCUGUAGAAGAGGCGUACAAAGGAGUUGACUGUGGCCAUGGAGGACCGUUUGGCGCGGUCGUCGUCCGCAACGACGAAGUAAUAGUUGGGUGCCAUAACAUGGUUUUGAACAACACCGAUCCAACUGCCCAUGCUGAAGUCACUGCAAUAAGAGAGGCUUGCAAAAAGCUUGGGAAGAUUGAGCUGUCGGACUGCGAAAUGUACGCAUCAUGUGAACCUUGCCCAAUGUGUUUUGGGGCUGUUCAUCUAUCCCGGAUCAAGAGGCUGGUGUACGGAGCCAAGGCGGAAGCUGCUAUUGCCAUUGGAUUCGACGACUUCAUUGCUGAUGCUCUUAGAGGAACUGGGUUCUACCAGAAGGCCAACAUGGAGAUCAAGCGAGCCGAUGGGAAUGGAGCUCUGCUUGCUGAACAAGUCUUUGAGAACACCAAGGAGAAAUUCCGAAUGUACUAA